RNAcentral lists this ribosomal RNA (472 nucleotides) under uncultured delta proteobacterium. RNAcentral describes it as "bacterial SSU rRNA". It matches the Rfam family "Bacterial small subunit ribosomal RNA", at positions 9 to 524 of the family's 1533-position model. The record is from RNAcentral. Lineage: Bacteria; Deltaproteobacteria.
GAGUUUGAUCAUGGCUCAGGACGAACGCUGGCGGUGUGCUUCGCACAUGCAAGUCGAACGAGGUAGCAAUACCUAGUGGCGGACGGGUGAGUAACACGUGGGAAUCUGCCUUUGAGUGGGGGAUAACUGACCGAAAGGUUAGCUAAUACCCCAUACGUCGCAAGAUAAAAGCAGCAAUGCGCUCGAAGAUGAGCCCGCGUCCGAUUAGCUAGUUGGUAGGGUAAGAGCCUACCAAGGCACCGAUCGGUAGCUGGUCUGAGAGGAUGAUCAGCCACAAUGGGACUGAGACACGGCCCAUACUCCUACGGGAGGCAGCAGUGGGGAAUUUUACACAAUGGGGGAAACCCUGAUGUAGCGACACCGCGUGAGCGAAGAAGCCCUUUGGGGUGUAAAGCUCUGUCAGCAGGGACGAAAAAAUGACGGUACCUGCAGAGGAAGCAUCGGCUAACUACGUGCCAGCCGCCGCCGUAAG